This is a non-coding RNA of Vicia faba (fava bean), 243 nucleotides long. Lineage: Eukaryota; Viridiplantae; Streptophyta; Magnoliopsida; Fabales; Fabaceae. The record is from the annotation of a GenBank genome assembly.
AUGAUGCAAUCUCAGGUUUGGUGGAUUUUUGCAGCAAGUUUAUGGGAUUUUCGAGAUGCAGGUACAACUUUGAACAUGGAGCAACACGAAAUGAAGAUUUAUGCGUACGGUCGGUAUGUGCAUAGUCUUGGUGGAUUACACAAAUACAUGGCUUUGAGAUAUAAUGUUUCUCCUUUUUCCCAAAUGAGACUUGAAUAUGUAUUUUGUAAUGCACUUGACUUUGAAAUAGAAUUGUACCCUUGA